This 236-nucleotide long non-coding RNA is filed under the name Physcomitrium patens. RNAcentral's name for it is "long non-coding RNA (PPAT_LNC008418)". Lineage: Eukaryota; Viridiplantae; Streptophyta; Bryopsida; Funariales; Funariaceae. The record is from RNAcentral.
CUUCUUAUGGAACUUUUUUUAAAAAAGGGAGAUAAUAUCAUAGACAUAUAUAUUAACUCUAAUAAUUAUCUAUAUGAUUAGAUAGAAGUGAAUGAAAAUAGAUCAAUUUUCAUAAUAACUUUUAAAAAAACUUUUCAAAAGUUUUAUAGAUAUAGCUUUGAUUUUAAAUGUAUUAACAUAUUAAAAACUUAGUCAAUAAAUUAGGCAUGUGUCAUACAUAUUAAUAGAUUAUGGAA